AAGUCGAGGGGUAGAGGAAGCUUGCUUCCUUGAGACCGGCGCACGGGUGCGUAACGCGUAUGCAAUCUACCUUUUACAGAGGGAUAGCCCAGAGAAAUUUGGAUUAAUACCUCAUAGUAUAUAUCAUUCGCAUGUUUGGUAUAUUAAAGUUCCAACGGUAAAAGAUGAGCAUGCGUCCCAUUAGUUAGUUGGUAAGGUAACGGCUUACCAAGACGAUGAUGGGUAGGGGUCCUGAGAGGGAGAUCCCCCACACUGGUACUGAGACACGGACCAGACUCCUACGGGAGGCAGCAGUGAGGAAUAUUGGUCAAUGGACGCAAGUCUGAACCAGCCAUGCCGCGUGCAGGAAGACGGUCCUAUGGAUUGUAAACUGCUUUUGUACGGGAAGAAACCCUCCGACGUGUCGGAGCUUGACGGUACCGUAAGAAUAAGCAUCGGCUAACUCCGUGCCAGCAGCCGCGGUAAUACGGAGGAUGCGAGCGUUAUCCGGAAUCAUUGGGUUUAAAGGGUCCGUAGGCGGUUUAAUAAGUCAGUGGUGAAAUCUGGUCGCUCAACGAUCAAACUGCCAUUGAUACUGUUAGACUUGAAUUACUGUGAAGUAACUAGAAUAUGUAGUGUAGCGGUGAAAUGCUUAGAUAUUACAUGGAAUACCAAUUGCGAAGGCAGGUUACUAACAGUGGAUUGACGCUGAUGGACGAAAGCGUGGGGAGCGAACAGGAUUAGAUACCCUGGUAGUCCACGCCGUAAACGAUGGAUACUAGUUGUUUGGAUUUAUCUGAGUGACUAAGCG
Molecule: ribosomal RNA, 790 nt
Filed under: Flavobacterium sp. TH122
Lineage: Bacteria; Pseudomonadati; Bacteroidota; Flavobacteriia; Flavobacteriales; Flavobacteriaceae
Description: bacterial SSU rRNA
Rfam family: Bacterial small subunit ribosomal RNA
Source: RNAcentral